RNAcentral lists this ribosomal RNA (1482 nucleotides) under metagenome. RNAcentral's name for it is "bacterial SSU rRNA". It matches the Rfam family "Bacterial small subunit ribosomal RNA". The record is from RNAcentral.
AGAGUUUGAUCCUGGCUCAGGAUGAACGCUGGCGGCGUGCCUAAUACAUGCAAGUCGAACGCUUCACUUCGGUGAAGAGUGGCGAACGGGUGAGUAAUACAUAAGUAACCUGGCAUCUACAGGGGGAUAACUGAUGGAAACGUCAGCUAAGACCGCAUAGGUGUAGAGAUCGCAUGAACUCUAUAUGAAAAGUGCUACGGGACUGGUAGAUGAUGGACUUAUGGCGCAUUAGCUUGUUGGUAGGGUAACGGCCUACCAAGGCGACGAUGCGUAGCCGACCUGAGAGGGUGACCGGCCACACUGGGACUGAGACACGGCCCAGACUCCUACGGGAGGCAGCAGUAGGGAAUUUUCGGCAAUGGGGGAAACCCUGACCGAGCAACGCCGCGUGAAGGAAGAAGUAAUUCGUUAUGUAAACUUCUGUCAUAGAGGAAGAACGGUGGAUAUAGGGAAUGAUAUCCAAGUGACGGUACUCUAUAAGAAGGCCACGGCUAACUACGUGCCAGCAGCCGCGGUAAUACGUAGGUGGCGAGCGUUAUCCGGAAUUAUUGGGCGUAAAGAGGGAGCAGGCGGCACUAAGGGUCUGUGUGAAAGAUCGAAGCUUAACUUCGGUAAGCCAUGGAAACCGUAGAGCUAGAGUGUGUGAGAGGAUCGUGGAAUUCCAUGUGUAGCGGUGAAAUGCGUAGAUAUAUGGAGGAACACCAGUGGCGAAGGCGACGAUCUGGCGCAUAACUGACGCUCAGUCCCGAAAGCGUGGGGAGCAAAUAGGAUUAGAUACCCUAGUAGUCCACGCCGUAAACGAUGAGUACUAAGUGUUGGGUGUCAAAGCUCAGUGCUGCAGUUAACGCAAUAAGUACUCCGCCUGAGUAGUACGUUCGCAAGAAUGAAACUCAAAGGAAUUGACGGGGGCCCGCACAAGCGGUGGAGCAUGUGGUUUAAUUCGAAGCAACGCGAAGAACCUUACCAGGUCUUGACAUCGAUCUAAAGGCUCCAGAGAUGGAGAGAUAGCUAUAGAGAAGACAGGUGGUGCAUGGUUUCGUCAGCUCGUGUCGUGAGAUGUUGGGUUAAGUCCCGCAACGAGCGCAACCCCUGUUGCCAGUUGCCAGCAUUAAGUUGGGGACUCUGGCGAGACUGCCGGUGACAAGCCGGAGGAAGGCGGGGAUGACGUCAAAUCAUCAUGCCCCUUAUGACCUGGGCUACACACGUGCUACAAUGGACAGAGCAGAGGGAAGCGAAGCCGCGAGGUGGAGCGAAACCCAUAAAACUGUUCUCAGUUCGGACUGCAGUCUGCAACUCGACUGCACGAAGAUGGAAUCGCUAGUAAUCGCGAAUCAGCAUGUCGCGGUGAAUACGUUCUCGGGCCUUGUACACACCGCCCGUCACACCAUGAGAGUCGGUAACACCCGAAGCCGGUGGCCUAACCGCUAGGAAAGGAGCUGUCUAAGGUGGGACUGAUGAUUGGGGUGAAGUCGUAACAAGGUA